CCCUUAGAUGUCCUGGGCUGCACGCGCGCUACACUGAGUGUCUGAGAUACGAGUCUGCCUGGUCCGGCAAGGUCUAGGUAAUCGCUAAAAGACACAUCAUGCUUGGGAUAGAUUAUUGCAAAUAUUAAUCUUGAACGAGGAAUUCCUAGUAAGCGCAAGUCAACAGCUUGCGUUGAUUACGUCCCUGCCCUUUGUACACACCGCCCGUCGCUACUACUGAUUGGAUGUUUAAGCGAGGUUCUCGAACUGCUAGCGACUUAGCUUCGGUGAGGUCGCAGUGUGGGGAGUGAACCUAGCUUUGGUGUCUAGAGGAAGUAAAAGUCGUAACA
This 329-nucleotide ribosomal RNA is filed under the name uncultured eukaryote. RNAcentral's name for it is "partial 18S ribosomal RNA". It matches the Rfam family "Eukaryotic small subunit ribosomal RNA", at positions 1470 to 1796 of the family's 1831-position model. The record is from RNAcentral.